GCCUCCAUAGCUCAGUGGGUAGAGCACUGGUCUAGUAAACCAGGGGUUGGGAGUUCGAUCCUCCCUGGAGGCA
This 73-nucleotide transfer RNA is filed under the name Paragonimus skrjabini miyazakii. RNAcentral describes it as "Paragonimus miyazakii tRNA". It matches the Rfam family "tRNA". Rfam says of the family: Transfer RNA (tRNA) molecules are approximately 80 nucleotides in length. The record is from Rfam by way of RNAcentral. Lineage: Eukaryota; Metazoa; Platyhelminthes; Trematoda; Plagiorchiida; Troglotrematidae.